UACAGAGGUGGCAAGCGUUGCUCGGAAUUACUGGGCGUAAAGGGCGCGUAGGCGGUCUUGUAAGUCUCGUGUGAAAUCCCUCGGCUUAACUGAGGAACUGCACGGGAUACUGCAUGACUUGAGAUCGGGAGAGGGAAGCGGAAUUCCGGGUGUAGCGGUGAAAUGCGUAGAUAUCCGGAGGAACACCGGUGGCGAAGGCGGCUUCCUGGACCGACACUGACGCUGAGGCGCGAAAGCUAGGGGAGCAAACGGG
RNAcentral lists this ribosomal RNA (253 nucleotides) under uncultured bacterium. RNAcentral describes it as "partial 16S ribosomal RNA". It matches the Rfam family "Bacterial small subunit ribosomal RNA", at positions 524 to 776 of the family's 1533-position model. The record is from RNAcentral.